This 253-nucleotide ribosomal RNA is filed under the name uncultured bacterium. RNAcentral's name for it is "partial 16S ribosomal RNA". It matches the Rfam family "Bacterial small subunit ribosomal RNA", at positions 524 to 776 of the family's 1533-position model. The record is from RNAcentral.
UACGUAGGGUGCGAGCGUUGUCCGGAAUUAUUGGGCGUAAAGAGCUUGUAGGCGGUUUGUCGCGUCUGCUGUGAAAAUCCGGGGCUCAACCCCGGACUUGCAGUGGGUACGGGCAGACUAGAGUGUGGUAGGGGAGACUGGAAUUCCUGGUGUAGCGGUGAAAUGCGCAGAUAUCAGGAGGAACACCGAUGGCGAAGGCAGGUCUCUGGGCCAUUACUGACGCUGAGGAGCGAAAGCGUGGGGAGCAAACAGG